UAGGAUUCCCUUAGUACGGGCGACGGAAGAGGGAAAAGCCCACACUGGUAAUCUGCGACCGUUAGGUCGUCGAAUUGUAAUCUGAAGACAGUUAGUCCAAUUGGACCCGACGCCGAAGUCAGCACGAGCGCUGCGCCAAAGAGGGUGAGAGCCCCGUAAGGUGUUAGGUCCUACAAGGGCUGGUUGUCCAAGAGUCGUGUACCUUGAUACUGGUGCACCAAGCGGGAGAUAAACUUCUUCUAAGGCUAAAUAUAGGUAGGAAACCGAUAGCGAACAAGUACUGUGAAGGAAAGAUGAAAAGCACUUUGGAAAGAAAGUUAAAAGACUUGAAAUCGUUGAGGCGGACCCGGUAGAAAUGUAUUCUAGCGAAACGCUCUGGGAAGCCUGUACGCGGGCCACUUGAGCGUUAGCCGAGACAAGAUGGAGUCGUGGGAUGCCAGAGACCGUGUAAUCGGAAGUCUGACUUUCGGCUGUGCUGGUUGGGUGUCCCGCGGCUUGAGGGGCUUUGAGCGAUCUUGUCAAAAUGGUUUUUACCGACUCGUCUUGAAACACGAACCAAGGAGUCUAAGACUAACGCGAGUAUGGUGGUGGAGAAACCAACAUGCGAAAUGAAAGUAAAUGAUGCCAAGCACCCUGCAGCAUCGACCGACUUUUUUCUCUUGGAGAAGGUUUGAGUAAGAGCGUUAUUCUUAGGACCCGAAAGAUGGUGAAACUAU
Molecule: ribosomal RNA, 716 nt
Filed under: Tintinnopsis kiangsuensis
Lineage: Eukaryota; Ciliophora; Spirotrichea; Tintinnida; Codonellidae
Description: LSU rRNA
Rfam family: Eukaryotic large subunit ribosomal RNA
Source: RNAcentral